GAGAGAGACAUGGUGGAGCUCAGAGAGCUGGAGAGAGACGUGGUGGAGCUCAGAGAGCUGGAGAGAGACAUGGUGGAGCUCAGAGAGCUGGAGAGAGACAUGGUGGAGCUCAGAGAGAGACGUGAUGGAGCUCAGAGAGAGACGUGGUGGAGCUCAGAGAGAGACGUGGUGGAGCUCAGAGAGAGACGUGGUGGAGCUCAGAGAGCUGGAGAGAGACAUGGUGGAGCUCAGAGAGAGACGUGGUGGAGCUCAGAGAGCUGGAGAGACAUGGUGGAGCUCAGAGAGCUGGAGAGAGACAUGGUGGAGCUCAGAGAGCUGGAGAGAGACAUGGUGGAGCUCAGAGAGCUGGAG
Molecule: long non-coding RNA, 351 nt
Organism: Oncorhynchus tshawytscha (Chinook salmon)
Lineage: Eukaryota; Metazoa; Chordata; Actinopteri; Salmoniformes; Salmonidae
Source: Ensembl